RNAcentral lists this transfer RNA (86 nucleotides) under Photobacterium damselae subsp. piscicida. Its description in RNAcentral is "tRNA-Leu". It matches the Rfam family "tRNA". From Rfam's summary of the family: Transfer RNA (tRNA) molecules are approximately 80 nucleotides in length. Their secondary structure includes four short double-helical elements and three loops (D, anti-codon, and T loops). RNAcentral also lists the same sequence under 2 other names. Lineage: Bacteria; Pseudomonadati; Pseudomonadota; Gammaproteobacteria; Vibrionales; Vibrionaceae. The record is from RNAcentral.
GCCCUGGUGGUGGAAUUGGUAGACACAAGGGAUUUAAAAUCCCUCGGCGUUCGCGCUGUGCCGGUUCAAGUCCGGCCCGGGCACCA